Molecule: ribosomal RNA, 200 nt
Filed under: uncultured Glomus
Lineage: Eukaryota; Fungi; Glomeromycota; Glomeromycetes; Glomerales; Glomeraceae
Description: partial small subunit ribosomal RNA
Rfam family: Eukaryotic small subunit ribosomal RNA
Source: RNAcentral
CCAAUAGCGUAUAUUAAAGUUGUUGCAGUUAAAAAGCUCGUAGUUGAAUUUCGGGAUCAAGGGAUCGGUCAUGCCUUGGUAUGUACUGGUCUUAUUGGUUCUCACCUUCUAAAGAACCAUGAUGUCAUUCAUUUGAUGUUAUGGGGAAUUAGGACUGUUACCUUGAAAAAAUUAGAGUGUUUAAAGCAAGCUUACGCUUG